AUGAACGCUGGCGGCGUGCCUAAUCCAUGCAAGUCGCGCGAACAGACGAGGAGCUUGCUCCUCUGACGUUAGCGGCGGACGGGUGAGUAACACGUGGAUAACCUACCUAUAAGACUGGGAUAACUUCGGGAAACCGGAGCUAAUACCGGAUAAUAUAUUGAACCGCAUGGUUCAAUAGUGAAAGACGGUUUUGCUGUCACUUAUAGGUGGAUCCGCGCCGCAUUAGCUAGUUGGUAAGGUAACGGCUUACCAAGGCAACGAUGCGUAGCCGACCUGAGAGGGUGAUCGGCCACACUGGAACUGAGACACGGUCCAGACUCCUACGGGAGGCAGCAGUAGGGAAUCUUCCGCAAUGGGCGAAAGCCUGACGGAGCAACGCCGCGUGAGUGAUGAAGGUCUUCGGAUCGUAAAACUCUGUUAUUAGGGAAGAACAAAUGUGUAAGUAACUAUGCACGUCUUGACGGUACCUAAUCAGAAAGCCACGGCUAACUACGU
RNAcentral lists this ribosomal RNA (495 nucleotides) under uncultured bacterium. RNAcentral's name for it is "partial 16S ribosomal RNA". It matches the Rfam family "Bacterial small subunit ribosomal RNA", at positions 29 to 506 of the family's 1533-position model. The record is from RNAcentral.